This is a long non-coding RNA of Leucoraja erinaceus (little skate), 2301 nucleotides long. RefSeq lists it as uncharacterized. The record is from RefSeq and is a predicted model, not a curated record. The transcript has 6 exons. Lineage: Eukaryota; Metazoa; Chordata; Chondrichthyes; Rajiformes; Rajidae.
AUGUAUAUGCCUGUGUACCAAUAUAUCCUCAUUUGUAUCGAGGACGAGAUUGAUCCCUGGGAUGGCGGGACUGUCAUAUGAGGAAAGAUUGAAAAGACUAGGCUUGUAUUCACUGGAGUUUAGAAGGAUGAGGGGGAUCAUAUAGAAACAUAAAAUUAUAAAAGGACUGGACAAGCUAGAUGCAGGAAAAAUGUUCCCAAUGUUGGGUGAGUCCAGAACCAGGGGCCACAGUCUUAGAAUAAAGGGGAGGUAAUUUAAGACUGAGGUGAGAAAAAACUUUUUCACCCAGAGUUGUGAAUUUAUGGAAUUCCCUGCUACGGAGGGCAGUGGAGGCCAAAUCACUGGAUGGAUUUAAGAGAGAGUUAGAUAGAGCUCUAGGGGCUAGUGGAGUCAAGGAAUGUGGGGAGAAGGCAGGCACGGGUUAUUGAUAGGGGACGAUCAGCCAUGAUCACAAUGAAUGGCGGUGCUGGCUCGAACCUACUCCCGCACCUAUUUUCUAUGUUUCUAUGUAUAUAUUGUCUUAAUCAGCAUUUUACUACUUUGCACUCUGGUUAGAUGCUAAACUGCAUUUCGUUGUACCUGUACUUGUACUAUGUGCAAUGACAAUAAAGUUGAAUCUAAUCUAAUCUAAUCAUAGAAGGCUUUGGACCAAUGGCUAGAAAAUGAGAUUAAUACUGAUGGGGGCCAACUGGUCGGUGUGGGCAUGGUGGGCUGAAUGCAGUAAUACAUGCAAUGAAUGUGACCCCUUUGUGAGGGCCACAGCAGCUAGCAAGACAACAAAAUAAUUUUGGCUUGUUGCAGAUCCUGCAGCUAACGGAAGGGGGAAUGGGGGGGAAUAGGGGGCUAUGAACAGAAAACAGAGAAUCAUUAGAUUGCUCUUUCAUAACAUAUGUGCACUCGACGGGCCGAAUGGCACCCUUCCGUUUUCUAAGCAUGCUGUGAUUACAGGGCUUCUUAUCAAUGUUGAAUGAAGAUAACCAUUGACCACACAGAGACAUGGGGUGACGCAGGGGAGAGGUCGCAUAUCACUUCGAAUUACCACAAGCGUGGACUUUAAAAAGGCGCUUUUUCACUGAAAAAUACUUCCUCCUUUUGGACAGCCGGAUAAACGGCCAACACUGUAACUGCACUGACACACUCACGGCACUGACUGAAGUAUGUUACAUUCUGGUCCUUUUGAAAACAAAAAAAACUGUUUUAUUCGCUACGAAUAUCAUUACCUCGUUCAGCACCAAUUGUAAACUCAGGAAAAAAUGGCAAGAACAGCUUGACCAAUGUCAGCAGGUUAACGACAUCAGGACUCUAUCUGAUUUACUUAUUUGGCUUCAGAGAAAUCUACAGAAACUAUUGUUUAGAUGACCAGCUAAUGCUUUAGAUGAGACAUCUAAUGCUGUUGUCUCCUGGUGGCAAAUUUAUGGAGAAACACUCAAGCCAAAAUAAGAGAAAAUGGGUCUGUGGACAGGUGAGACUUGAGGAAGGUGUGUUGCCUCCCUGGUGCCGGGGUCUAAGACAUCUCAGACCGACUUCAGAACAUCCUCAUGAGGGAAGGAUCUCAGCAUCCAAAAUUGAGCCAAACAACUGUUGGUGGUGAACUGUUUUAUUGAAAUAAUGCAGUGUUUCUAGUGAAAGGAUAACAUGACUGUUGGGAAGGAUGUCGAUAUAUGUCGGUAAAAGAGAAAAAAAGAGGGAAUAAAAGGGUCUCCAAUCUGAAACGUUGUGAAACAAGGAAUUUCUGAUGCUGGAAUCUAGAGGAAAACGCAAAGGGCUGGUGUACCUCAGCGGGUCAGCCUAACAUCAUGGAGUUGGCGACCUUUCCUGGAGACCGGCCCGGCGCUCCAAGCCGCGGGAGUAUGCGGGACUUUAACAUUGCGGAGCUUGCGAUCCCUUUGCCGUGGAUCGAAGCUCCAACCACGGGGCCUGUGGACUUAAACAUCGUGAAGCCCACGGUCUCUGGUAAGAAGAGGCCGAUUCAGGAGCUUCAUGCCGCGGAGAGUGUUUCAACCACCCCGACGCAGGAGUUUCGAUCACACUGACACGAGGGCUUCGAUCAUCGGCUGCGGGGGGGGCUUUGAUCGCCCAACUGCGAAUGGUUUGACUGCCCCGACCUCGGGAGAACAAAGAGGAAGAAGAUUGAAUUUUAUUGCCUUCAUCACAGUGAAGAAUGUGGAAUGCACUGUGGUGGAUGUUUAUGUUAACUUUUAUGUGGUUGUGUGUCUUGUUGCUUUUCACUUAGUAUAGCUGUAUGGUAAUUCAAAUGUCACUGUACCUCAAUUGGUACAGUUGACAAUAAACUGACCUUGA